Molecule: ribosomal RNA, 277 nt
Filed under: uncultured prokaryote
Description: partial 16S ribosomal RNA
Rfam family: Bacterial small subunit ribosomal RNA
Source: RNAcentral
UACGUAGGUGGCGAGCGUUGUCCGGAUUUACUGGGCGUAAAGGAUGCGUAGGUGGAAACUUAAGUGGGAUGUGAAAUCCCCGGGCUCAACCCGGGAACUGCAUUCCAAACUGGGUUACUUGAGUGCAGGAGAGGAAAGCGGAAUUCCUAGUGUAGCGGUGAAAUGCGUAGAUAUUAGGAAGAACACCAGUGGCGAAGGCGGCUUUCUGGACUGUAACUGACACUGAGGCAUGAAAGCGUGGGGAGCAAACAGGAUUAGAUACCCUGGUAGUCCCUGA